GAAGCUUUUGCGGUACAUAUACUAAAAUUGGAAUGAUACAGAGAAGAUUAGCAUGACUCUUGCGCAAGGAUGAUACGCAAAACCGUGAAGCGUUAACGGUAAUG
Non-coding RNA from Schistosoma mattheei, 104 nucleotides. NCBI's taxonomy places the organism in Eukaryota, Metazoa, Platyhelminthes, Trematoda, Strigeidida, Schistosomatidae. The record is from Rfam.